Molecule: ribosomal RNA, 253 nt
Filed under: uncultured bacterium
Lineage: Bacteria
Description: partial 16S ribosomal RNA
Rfam family: Bacterial small subunit ribosomal RNA
Source: RNAcentral
UACAGAGGGUGCGAGCGUUAAUCGGAAUUACUGGGCGUAAAGCGCACGUAGGCGGCUUGGUAUGUCGGGUGUGAAAUCCCCGGGCUCAACCUGGGAACUGCAUCCGAAACUGCCUUGCUCGAGUAUGGGAGAGGGAAGUGGAAUUUCCGGUGUAGCGGUGAAAUGCGUAGAUAUCGGAAGGAACAUCAGUGGCGAAGGCGGCAUCCUGGACCGACACUGACGCUGAGGAGCGAAAGCCAGGGGAGCAAACGGG